RNAcentral lists this transfer RNA (78 nucleotides) under Flavobacteriales bacterium. RNAcentral's name for it is "tRNA-Val". It matches the Rfam family "tRNA". From Rfam's summary of the family: Transfer RNA (tRNA) molecules are approximately 80 nucleotides in length. Their secondary structure includes four short double-helical elements and three loops (D, anti-codon, and T loops). The record is from RNAcentral. Lineage: Bacteria; Pseudomonadati; Bacteroidota; Flavobacteriia; Flavobacteriales.
GGGUGAUUAGCUCAGUUGGUUUAGAGCACUACCUUGACAGGGUAGGGGUCACUGGUUCGAAUCCAGUAUUACUCACAA